This 1527-nucleotide long non-coding RNA is filed under the name Oreochromis niloticus (Nile tilapia). RNAcentral's name for it is "lncRNA (ENSONIG00000037427.1)". The record is from RNAcentral. Lineage: Eukaryota; Metazoa; Chordata; Actinopteri; Cichliformes; Cichlidae.
CACGGCUGUUCACUGGUAAUGAUCGAAACAUGUACUGUCAGGAAUAGGGGGUUCAUGAGAUGUGGUUGCUGGUAGAUAGCAACUAUCAUAUAAACAUAAACCUGUGUGGUCUGGAGGUGGACACAUUGAGCACUGAAAGUUUUAUAUGUAAAACUUUAUAUUUAGCAAUGUAUUUUAAAAUAUAACACAUCAUUCUGUGUCAAUUACUACAAAAAUAGCCUUUUGAAAUCAGAUGACUUUUCUCAUACAUGCCAUACACUCCACCCUUACUCUUGGUACCCCAUUUGUAAAAAUCCUGGAAAAACCCUUGUACAUGUGCUAGCUUUUUGGCAUACAUAUUAAGUGUCCACGAGGACAUAAAAACUAUUUAAAAGUUUUCUAAUUCUUCAAACUUCCCUAAAGUUUUUUUUUUUCUACCAGCAUGUUUACCGUUUUCAUGUCACUUUUUUCAUAAUGCCCCGGGUUUCAUUAACUGGGAAAGGAAAAUAAAAAGGAAAAAGACGUAAAAAAAAGAAAAAAAAAAAAGCAGUUUUCUUAUUUUGCUCACCGUGACCGAAAGAGAAACAGCUAACCACACUCCCGGCAUCCAGUCGUUUCGCUACCGUGGGAUUUAAAGUAUUUUUCAUCGCUUUCGUCGGUACCCACCCUUGACCCUGACACCUGAAAGCGGUGGGAUGCACCCCGACACAUCCCACUGGUUUUUUGGAGACGACGGCCACGUGACCGAGGUAGCGGCAGCAUCCGCGCGCACACCGCCGCUGUUCGUUUGAUAGCAUCCACAGCGCCGGACGGAGAAGAGAGCGGGACAGAGAGAGAGAGAAAAAGAGAGGGAGAUAGGAAGAAACAGUCGUCGAGGGAAGACGAACAAAAUCUCCGUCUUGCUGACUCCUUCACCAGACACGGCGGGCACACCAUGGACGGCUAUGGCCGGACCGAAGAUGAGCUGUUCUCCUCCUGCCUCGUGAACCUCACCUGGGAGACGUGCUACGAGCAGUCCAGCCGUGAUGCUCGGCCACCGGGGUGCUCCGGAGGGGAGGUGGAGUUGAAAGGAAGCACGUUUGGCUGCUUUACCGGGCGAUGGCAAUUUAAAAGCACUUCAGUGCACAGACUCACACACUCCAGAUGAGGUUCGCCUGCAGUGAAGACCUCUUUAACCAAGGGAGGAAGAAAACAGUUUGAAGAUUUCAAGUAGCUUCUUUUAUCACCUCAUCUCAGUGCUAGACUUUUGUCUUUUGCUUCUUAAUUAUUGAUGUUGAUGCGAUUCAUUUCUUGCCAAGUUCUCCAUUAAAGACCGGCUCUUAAUUGUGGAGGCAAAAAACAAAGAUAAAAGAAGGGCAAUUAACUCCCAGCAUUCCUGAUGCACUCGUGACGUGCUGUGAUGGAAUUUUCUUCUCUCAUAAAUUUAUUUGAACCUUAUGGGUAACUAAUAGAUUGAGAUGUUAUAUAUAAUGCAUGUAACUUACAAAGCGACGCAAAACAGGCUGUAGGUCAGGCAGUAAAGCAGGGCAUCUAUUGACUGGAAGGUUG